Molecule: ribosomal RNA, 497 nt
Filed under: uncultured bacterium
Lineage: Bacteria
Description: partial 16S ribosomal RNA
Rfam family: Bacterial small subunit ribosomal RNA
Source: RNAcentral
GAUGAACGCUGGCGGCGUGCCUAAUACAUGCAAGUCGAGCGAACGGACGAGAAGCUUGCUUCUCUGAUGUUAGCGGCGGAGGGGUGAGUAACACGUGGAUAACCUACCUAUAAUACUGGUAUAACUUGGGGAAACCGGAGCUAAUACCGGAUAAUAUUUUGAACCGCAUGGGUCAAAAGUGAAAUACGGUCUUGCUGUCACUUCUAGAUGGAUCCGCGCUGCUUUAGAUGGUUGGUAAGUUAACGGCUUACGAAGGCAACGAUGCAUAGCCGACCUGAGAGACGGAUAGCCCACCCUAGAGCUGGGCCACGGACAAGACGACUGAGGGACGCAGCAGUAGGGAAUCUGCCGCAGUGGGCGAAAACAUGACGGAACAAGGCGGAGUGAGUGAUGACGGUGUUCGGUUCGUAAAACUCUGUUAUUAGGGAAGAACAUAUGUGUAAGUAAAUGUGCACUUCGUGACGGUACCUAAUCAGGAAGCACCGGCUAACUACGUG